RNAcentral lists this ribosomal RNA (492 nucleotides) under uncultured bacterium. Its description in RNAcentral is "partial 16S ribosomal RNA". It matches the Rfam family "Bacterial small subunit ribosomal RNA", at positions 29 to 507 of the family's 1533-position model. The record is from RNAcentral.
AGUGAACGCUGGCGGUAGGCCUAACACAUGCAAGUCGAACGGCAGCACAGUAAGAGCUUGCUCUUACGGGUGGCGAGUGGCGGACGGGUGAGGAAUACAUCGGAAUCUACUUUUUCGUGGGGGUUAACGUAGGGAAACUUACGCUAAUACCGCAUACGACCUACGGGUGAAAGCAGGGGAUCUUCGGACCUUGCGCGAUUGAAUGAGCCGAUGUCGGAUUAGCUAGUUGGCGGGGUAAAGGCCCACCAAGGCGACGAUCCGUAGCUGGUCUGAGAGGAUGAUCAGCCACACUGGAACUGAGACACGGUCCAGACUCCUACGGGAGGCAGCAGUGGGGAAUAUUGGACAAUGGGCGAAAGCCUGAUCCAGCCAUACCGCGUGGGUGAAGAAGGCCUUCGGGUUGUAAAGCCCUUUUGUUGGGAAAGAAAAGCAGCAGGUUAAUACCCCGCUGUUCUGACGGUACCCAAAGAAUAAGCACCGGCUAACUUCGUG